Haplochromis burtoni (Burton's mouthbrooder) is the source of this 1880-nucleotide long non-coding RNA. RefSeq lists it as uncharacterized. The transcript has 2 exons. The record is from RefSeq and is a predicted model, not a curated record. Lineage: Eukaryota; Metazoa; Chordata; Actinopteri; Cichliformes; Cichlidae.
CAGUCUGCACACAGUGAGGACAGCUCUUUAUCACACACUGCGUUUUUACACGUUUAUAAGCUUUUGUUUCUGCUUGGUGAACUCACAUUCAUGUUAACAACUAAAGGUGAGACACGCACACCAAGCUCCUGCUGUCUGGUUAAAGGGCGCGAGAUAUAAACCAAUCACCUCGGAUGUAAUAUCUCUGUUCAUGUAUUAUUCACAUAUAAAUGUGUGUGUUAAAGCUGCAUUGUUGGCAGUGAGACUGGGUCAGGGUUUUUGUAUUAUCCAGACUGGUAUCAGGAGACUCUCCAAUUGCUACAAUUCCAUUCAAUGCAAUUCAGCCGUCAAUUCAAUUUUAUUUAUAUGGCGCCAAAUCACAACAGGACACUUAACAUUACAAAAGCAGACAUUUAUGUGUGGUUACCCCAGGCAGACAGCCCUGAAAAAUGCAGCCAAUCCAUAAGUGGAAAAGAAAACAAAAAACUGCAGGUCCUCUAGUGGCCACUAGAGGACCUGCACAAACACCCAUGUUAAAAUGCCCAAACACAGCAUUAAAACCAUGUUUGUAGUCCAGUAUAAAAAGCUUUUAGGCUCUUUGGAUAGUGUACCCCUUCAUAACAGCUGUGAGGUGAAUGAUUUUUAUUGCUAACACAAAAAAACAUCUGUCAAAUCUGACUGACAGAUGUUCACACAGGGAGCUGUGGCCUCACUGUGCUGGUGCCUUGUGAAGCAUUUUUAAUGGAAUUAUCUGUGAAAUAAUGUGACUUCCUGUUUGGCUGAAUCCAUUCCAAAGACGCUGUGCUCUCGGAGAGUAAAAUGAUUAUUGAGUAUUUUAUUACGUGCAUCUGUGUGUUGGACUGUUUAUGAACGCAGCUUGCUUAUGAAGCCAACCAGCUAAACUCAUGCUGAGGCUUCUAACUGCAUCUGAAAGCAAUUAAUGAUAACAGGGUGGCUAUGUCCAUUGUUUAUAUACAGUCUGUAGUGGUUUCCAACGUCCACAGUGGAAAACCCCCGACAUAUACAAACAAACACAAUAACUGAUAUCAAAAUGAAGAUUUACUGGUCAGGUUGGAAAAGUCGGAAAAAGGUACUCUGGACUGAAACAUCUGCUUUGAAAUAACUUUUAAAUGUAGAAUUCAGUUAUUGAAUCAGAGCCUGAAAUUAUGCAGACUUUCUCUUUUUUGUGUGAAAUGUGCACACCGUUGGUUUAUCAUGGUGUUUUCUUUAUAAAAGCUAUACUAUGCAUUUAUUCUAGAGGUUACUUCUGAUAUAAGCCAGUAUCUUUUACCCAUAACAAAUUUAAAGAAGGCGUUAGCUGCACAGUGUUCUGUAUAGACUGUGUUUUUUAAAGUGAAUUCAUGAUUUGAGCCCAAAGAUCGGAGAUUUUAAAUGUGGCCUAAACUCAGUAUAACGGAGCUGACUAGAAACUGAGCGUGCCAUCUUCAACACAACUUAAAAUACAUGACAUAAUUGUAUCUGUAAAAUGAAAAGACUGCUCCACCUGUGGAUAACAAGAAGAGGUAAAACAUUUCUGAGCAGUCCCUGCACUGAUCCGUCUCACCUGACCACAUCCAUGGAGGCGGCGCCGGACUUGAAGAAGUCUGUGGUGUCCUCAAUGGCUGGCACGUUGCUGAGGAUGCCCUUCCAGAUGUUCUGCAGUAAAAAAAUGUUUUAAAUGGGCUGAUGUCUUUCAUUUAAAUCAUUUACAGUCUAUUGGGAGACAGCAGGCUAAAAAGAAUCAGAUAACACAGGGGUUCACUUGCCCUGAUCUCCUCUGCCAUUGUCUUCUCGUCAUCGGUCAGCUCCACACUGGCGCUUUCUCCAGAAGAGAAAUAUUUGGAAGCAGGAAUCAUUUUCCCAUCUUCAAACUGCAGGUUCUUCACUAGGAGCUGUGGCAC